This is an RNA transcript of Nelumbo nucifera (sacred lotus), 1867 nucleotides long. It is a transcript of the gene named Sterile alpha motif (SAM) domain-containing protein, with no coding region annotated. NCBI's taxonomy places the organism in Eukaryota, Viridiplantae, Streptophyta, Magnoliopsida, Proteales, Nelumbonaceae. The record is from RefSeq and is a predicted model, not a curated record.
UAGACGUAUAGUAACUGGAGCUUGAUGCAACCCCUUUUUUUGUAAAUGAUCAGAUCAGAUAAUUAACUGGAUUGAUGGAAAUUGAGGAUAGCAAAUGGGUAAAGGCCCAGUAUUUUAGUUCAGAAGGGAAAUAAAAAAGCCCAGUGUCUCAACGCACUAUCAAGUAUUAUCAUCCCGACAGGCCACAGAGAGUAAUUGAAGAAGAUAGAAAAUCGGUUCGACGACGUUCUUCCACAUUCGAACAGAUUCCAAAGGCCAAAGUUACUUUCCAUAGCCACUGUCAUUUGCCCAUUAUCGUCACUCCACUGUCCUACUCGACCUUCACUUGCUACGACUCUCCACCGGGAUGGCAGAGCUACAGCCGCCGGAAGGACCGAUUAACGGUGGAACAGUCGGAGCUUCAUCUGAGAAUCUCGUCCCAUGCUUGGGUUCGAAGCGACAACGUCGACCAAGCGUCAGAUUAGGCGACAUAGGAGAUCAACCAGCCACGCUCUCUUACGAUUCACAUGUCAGGCGAAGCAAGCAAUGGAAACUCCCCAUCGACAACGACUCCAAGUAUCGACAUCCAUCUCAAAAGGACACAGGCGCAGCUGGUAAAGCUUCAAAGACCCGACCUUUAAUGAAUUUGGGGAACGGCGGCGAUUGUCAUGAAACCCUAGAAACCGAGGAUAAGAACCUAUCCGGCGAUGCCAAUUUGGACACGAUAGCAGUAGGUAACCGAAAGGGCAAGGAUUCCAAGACGAAGAGAGGAGGGGGAGGUGGUGGAGGAGGAGGAGGAGGAGGGACAAAAAGGGUGAGAUCGAAUUGGGUUUCCAAAGUAGAUGAAGGGGCGGAAGGAGAUGAGAAGUUUAGUGGUGGAGAAGACGUGGAUGAAGGGUACAGGGAUUUCGAUCCCGAGGGUUCAGAAAGCCCUUUGAGGGAACAGAGUCCCAUUCAUUCUCUUGAAAACACCGCUGUUGAUUUGCGCCAGACCUCGGACAGGGGACAUGGAAAUGAGAGAGAGGGACUUUUUCCCGUGCAAAGAAGACCACUUAGGGCUAGGGUUUCGGACAGUAGAGAUCAUGAUGCAGUCGAAUUGGAUGGGCCUUCGGACACUGAUGCCAGGGAUUGGAAAUGCGGAACGAGUGCAGAUAGGAAUGGCAUUAGUGAGAGGGGGAGGUGCCGGUCUCUUGAAGAUGGGGUGCGGAUGUGGCUUAAUGGCUUAGGACUAGGUCGUUAUGCACCGGUUUUCGAGAUACAUGAGGUGGAUGACGAAGUGUUGCCGCUGCUGACUUUGGAAGAUCUCAAGGACAUGGGGAUAAAUGCCGUCGGUUCAAGGCGGAAAAUGUAUUGUGCAAUCCAAAAGCUUGCCAAGGGCUUCUCGUGAGUUCGUGAGUUUCAGUAUUGGAGUAUGGCGGAUGUAAGUGCAAACCUUCAGUCAUCGCAUAAGUGAAAAUAUAUGCCAUGUCCGAUAUGGGGAAUUUGUUUCGUAUUUCUCAAGGUAUAAUUCAGUUGGAGCUGUUGGCUAUGGUUAAUGCCUUGUCUUUUUCAAAGGAGCAGGAAUGGGAAAGGCUUGAGAUUCAAUCAGACUCCCUGUUACCUAUUAAAGCAAUUGCUGGAGAAACUGGUUGCAUUCCAUGGGGAUGUUUAGAUWUUGUUGAUGGUAUCAAGUUUUUUUAGCACAAUUUUUGGAUAUAGUUAGUUUUGUGCAUAUAUCCAGAUUGUCUAACUAAGUAGUUCAUUUUGUUGCUCAGAAGGCAAAAUCUUUUACUGUUAAACAGUUGUGGCAAGGUAAUCAAUCCUUCACCCUGGUUAAUGGACAAAUUAUGUAAUAUUUCUUUGACUGGUAACCUAGUUAAUAUGAAGUUCUAUCUAUCUAUAAAAAAUA